RNAcentral lists this ribosomal RNA (505 nucleotides) under uncultured Glomus. RNAcentral describes it as "SSU rRNA". It matches the Rfam family "Eukaryotic small subunit ribosomal RNA", at positions 569 to 1078 of the family's 1831-position model. The record is from RNAcentral. Lineage: Eukaryota; Fungi; Glomeromycota; Glomeromycetes; Glomerales; Glomeraceae.
AGCAGCCGCGGUAAUUCCAGCUCCAAUAGCGUAUAUUAAAGUUGUUGCAGUUAAAAAGCUCGUAGUUGAAUUUCGGGGUUAGCAGGUCGGUCGUGCCAUCGGUAUGAACUGGUCUCGCUGAUCCCUCCCUCUUGACGAACUGUGAUGCCAUUAAUUUGGUGUCGCAGGGAAUCAGGACUGUUACUUUGAAAAAAUUAGAGUGUUUAAAGCAGGCUCACGCUUGAAUACAUUAGCAUGGAAUAAUGAAAUAGGACGUUUGAUCCUAUUUUGUUGGCUUCUAGGAUUGACGUAAUGAUUAAUAGGGAUAGUUGGGGGCAUUAGUAUUCAAUUGUCAGAGGUGAAAUUCUUGGAUUUAUUGAAGACUAACUACUGCGUAAAGCAUUUGCCAAGGAUGUUUUCAUUAAUCAAGAACGAAAGUUAGGGGAUCGAAAACGAUCAGAUACCGUCGUAGUCUUAACCAUAAACUAUGCCGACUAGGGAUCGGAUGAUGUUAAUUUUUAAUGUA